This 101-nucleotide transfer RNA is filed under the name Candidatus Saccharimonadota bacterium. Its description in RNAcentral is "tRNA-OTHER". It matches the Rfam family "tRNA". Rfam says of the family: Transfer RNA (tRNA) molecules are approximately 80 nucleotides in length. Their secondary structure includes four short double-helical elements and three loops (D, anti-codon, and T loops). Lineage: Bacteria; Candidatus Saccharimonadota. The record is from RNAcentral.
ACUGGUGUAUCCGAAGUGGUUAUAACGGACGACACCGAUAUACCACUGUCAUCAAUCGGUUGUAUGGGCAGUGGCCGCGAGUUCGAAUCUCGCCACCAGUC